Molecule: long non-coding RNA, 4305 nt
Organism: Dermochelys coriacea (leatherback sea turtle)
Lineage: Eukaryota; Metazoa; Chordata; Testudines; Dermochelyidae
Exons: 5
Source: RefSeq, a predicted model, not a curated record
CCUUCCCCCGCCCCCGCGCCCCGGGAGGGGGGCGGCGUGUCACUGCGGGGAACCCCCCCGGGGACCGGGAGCAGCGCGGGGCGGGUUGCGUCGCGUCAGACGCCGCCGAGCAAAGUUCCAUGCAUGACAUUUCUCAGCAAUGAAAAAGUCACCAAUGCCAUCAUCCCCAGCCAAACAGAAGGUGAGAGGGAUGGCAGGAGUCUUUCCUCUGACGCCUCCCCAGAAGCAAGUGGGGCUAAGCUGCAAUCAGGAGCAGCUGUGGUGCUGGAACAACCGGGCACAGAAGAGAGUCAGUACCUGGCAGAAAGAGGCUUUAAGGGCAAGACACUUCUCCUCAAAAUGGGCCACUGCCUGAUGGAGGAUGUGGCACCAGUGACGCAUAUACAUAUCACUCUCAAGCCUCCCAAAAUCACACCAACUGGUUCCAUUUAAGUCUGCUUUAAUGGCUCAGCAUUCACCAUAUACCAACAUCGUAUGGAGUUCAGAUGGAGAACACAGUAGAGGAGCAGCUGCACUGAUGGAGGCCCAAGAUCAUGACUCCUGACCAGGGGCACACAGUAGAUACAUACCACUGCAUUAAUGCCCCAAUGCACCUACAGCAGCUGUCUGGGGAUCUGUACUUUCUGCUUGGAACCUGCCUCCUGCUCUCACUCUGACAGUCCAGCCUUGCCAUAAAAUGUCUUCAACUGUAAUCCUGGAGUUAACAGCUGUGGAAAAGCAAACAUUCUUCCCUUAUUGCUUAGCCUGCAAGGAGAUGUGCCAGGGACUGACAAGUUCUCUGCCUGACCUUGGAUGAGGAAGAUAUAUUGAUAGUUCAUGGCUAGGUGGGGACAUGGAGAACUGGAGACAAUAGGCCAUAUCCUGUUCAUGGAAGAGAGCCAUUGCCCUUCUCUCAUGGGACCAGGUGAAAAGAGAUGAAUAAGACCAUGCACCCACUGCAACAGAGAGGCUCUUUCUACUGCUGUGUCCAAAAUACAAGGGAGUACAUGAUAUUUCUUCAAAUUACCACCAAUUCAAAGAGACAUUGAAGAGCAGUGGGAAAAGCUCUGCUUGACCCUGGGAGAAAGGAGAUGGCAUGGCAUUAUGUACUAACGGACUACCAGAUCAAAUACAAGCAGUAGUGACAGACAGAUAGAUGGGAUCAAACCCCAAAUCCAGCAUAUCCAUCCUGGGCAGAUCAUAACCACAUCCGACAACACAGGGGGCUCACGUUCUUACUCUUUCACCCUAUGUGAAGCUGGUCAAGCUAUAGUUUAAAUUAAAUUGAAAACUGAGUUGGUGCUCUGGGUCUCCCCUCCACCCACCUUUUCUACACCACAAAAGAAUCCAGCAUCUGCGGAGUGAAGUGCUUUCAACAAUAUUAUGCCCAUGAUCGUUGCUCACAAUUCAGUGGAUGGCACUGGGAGCUGCAUGACUGGAUCAUGAUAGGAUGUGGCCCCAUGUUUGGAAGUCAGGCAGCAAAUAUGAAUAAAACCAAAUAGCUUUUGUGGUCAGCCAAUCAAAGUCUCAAGUUCAGCCACCUGGCUGCCUUCUGAAAGGAGAAAAUAUUUCCCUAUGAGGUCACAGAGCUGUCUUUCCCUGAAACAUACGUCUAGUCCAUAUUCAUCCUUCUCCAAACGUUGUGCAGCCUUUAGAGCAGUUCCAGGCUAAUCACAGUCAGAAUUUCCCUUUUCCUUGCACUGCUUUAGUCACACACGACUGUCAACAUAGUUUCAAGAAGCUAUUUUCCAGGAUUAUCAUGCUAAAAAUUUAAGCCAGUGUUUCAGCUGCUGCUUUUCCAUAUUCCAAGUUUCUCUGGCUUGAAGAACUUCCAGAAUUGUUGCCGCUGCCACCGCCAAAGCUCAAAUAUAGGACAGAAGCCGAAAAUAAGGUUGAGGAGGAAUUAUUGGAAGGAAGCUUAAAGUCAAGUUCAAUUAGUCUUUAGCAUACAUUUCUAGCAGAGAUGUAUUUGAGAUAAAUUCCCAAUACAAGGAGAUCAAUGAGAUGGAAGCAAUGAUGAAUCAAUGGCUAGGAUGGGAAACAACUGACACUCCCCAUGCAAUGACAGCACCACAGCCCUAGAAGCCCACUGGCAUGGAAUGUUUUCAUUCAAGACCUUGCUGUUUAAAAAUUAAAAUGAGGGGCUUUUUAGGCGGUGGGUUAACAGCAGGUUAACUUUGGUUACUCUGGCUCAUUCCAGUGGCGAGAACAAGAGGAAGUUUAAAAAAAAAACCUCCCCCCUUUUCUAAACUAUUCCCAGAGAGAAUGAAGAAAUGCCCAUGUACAACUGAAGGCAAUAUGCAAGGGUAUGAGAGUGACCUGACCUUUCUGAAGAACUAACCUGGGGCUCACUCCCCUCAGUCACUUUUUGGCCUACAGCUUGUUAACCACUUGCCAGGAUCGCCUACAGCUGUGGCUCUCAACCAGCGGGACACAGAAGUCUCCCAGGGGGUACAUCAACUCAUCUAGAUAUUUGCCUAGUUUUAUAACUGGCUACAUAAAAAGCACUAGCGAAGUCAGUACAAAAUAAAAUUUCAUACAAUGACUUGUUUAUACUGCUCUACAUACUAUACACUGAAAAAAUGUGAGUGCAAUUGAUUUUAUAAUUGUAUGGGAAAAUGAGAAAGUAAGCAAUUUUUCAGUAACAGUGUGCUGUGACACCUUUGUAUUUUUAGGUCGGAUUUUCUAAGCAAAUAAUUUUCAGGUGAGGUGAAACAUGGGGGUAUGCAAGAAAUCAGACUCCUGAAAGGGGUACAGUAGUCAGGAAAAGUAGACAGGCAUUGAUAAUUUACACAUACGUUAUUUUUAAUGCAGCACUAGCAUCCUUCAAUGCUCCUGCACUUUUUCCCUUCUCAAAACUAGGCCCAAGGUUUCCCAAGGGAGUUGUAUUAGAAGAGUGGUUCCCAAACUGGGGUUCGCACAAUGUUACAAGAGGUUCGCCAGAAAAAUUUCACUAAUGGCAGCCAGAGGACCCCGGACACUGGAGGCACCAGGUGGAACCUGGUUGCAGGGCAGACAGCCCGAGCCCCAGGGAGAGCGAGGCAGGGCAGUUGGGGCUGGCAGCCCGAGCCCUGCCCCCAUCAGCGGGGGAGCCAGAUGCCCGAACCCUAGCACUCCACACGGGACUGGCAGCCUGACCCCCUGGCUGACCGGGGCCAGGCAGUUGGGGCUGGCAGCCCAAGCCCCCCCCCCCCGUCAGCAGGGGAGCCAGCUGCCUGAACCUCAGCGCUCUGUGUGGGGCUGGCAGCCCAAGCCCCAGGGAGAGUGGGGCCGGGCAGUUGGGGCUGGUAGCUUGAGCCCCGGCCGUCAGCAGGACCUGCAGCCCAAGCUCAGUUGACAGGAGCAGUCAACGGGGUCCAGCAGCAGGAGCCCCCUGGAGUACGGAGGAAAUUUAAACUUAAAUCCCUGGAAAUAUUCAUUUUUAGGAGAGGGUUCAUGAGAUUUCACAAUUUAGAGGGGUUCAUGGGCUGUUAACAUUUAGGAACCACUGUACUAGACUGAUUUUUCCUGCUUUGGUGCCUACUUUGCUUUGGUAGAAAGUAUGUUCUGCUCUGUGCCUCAGACGAUACAAUGUACUGAGCUCUUUUCUGCUGAUUCAUUGCAUAACGAAAUUGUCAGCUCAUACCCUCAUUCCACCAAGUUCCUUUUGGUUCCAGUCUCUCCUCUUGACAGGGGCCAGCUCCUCCAAUUUUAAGCAGCAUGCAAGUUCCCCCAUUACCUCUUUUGGUCAGUUUUGCACAAAAAGUUCAUGGGAGCAUACUGUGUGUGUCAACUGAUGUUUGCUAGUGGCUGUUAUAGGGAAGUACUAGACUGGAGGUACCAGUUCAUCAGCUGAAGCAUAGCACAUACAGAGGCUUCUAGUGGCCAGAAUGACAUACAUUACACAGAAGUCACCAGUUUAGGCCUCCCUCCCAAAAUUACUCUGCUAGUUGGAUAUUGCCCUUGAUGGGUUCGUAACCUUUGCACUUACUCAUUUAGAUUUCUAAGUAUAAAUUCAAGACCAAAAAUUCAUGUAAUUUGUUUCCCAAUGGAAAGCUUUAUUGACAAAUUUCCCCAACAUUCACCUGUAGAGAAAAACAGUUCAAUAUCUAAGCUUCAGCAGUCCCUCAUUUAACUGACACUGUUUUCCCCACACUGUGGGUAAUUUCAGCCACAAACAAUAAAACCUGGUAAAUGACACUCUACACUCCACCUAUUUCCUAUCACAUCUGCCUUCUAAUUUUUCAUAGUAUGCAUUCCCCCAACACCUGCAAAAUGGGGGAACAAGCAUGGUUAUUGAGGUUUACGAUCAGCAGAUCCAAAUGUCAAAACUUGCUUCUCUAAAGG